This is a non-coding RNA of Podarcis lilfordi (Lilford's wall lizard), 70 nucleotides long. Lineage: Eukaryota; Metazoa; Chordata; Lepidosauria; Squamata; Lacertidae. The record is from the annotation of a GenBank genome assembly.
GGGUAGCUCAGUUGGUAGAGCACAAAACUCUUAAUCUCAGGGCUGUGGGUUUGAGCCCCACACAGAGGCU